CCCGGGCUCAACCUGGGAACUGCAUUCGAAACUGGCAGGCUUGAGUCUUGUAGAGGGGGGUAGAAUUCCAGGUGUAGCGGUGAAAUGCGUAGAGAUCUGGAGGAAUACCGGUGGCGAAGGCGGCCCCCUGGACAAAGACUGACGCUCAGGUGCGAAAGCGUGGGGAGCAAACAGGAUUAGAUACCCUGGUAGUCCACGCCGUAAACGAUGUCUACUUGGAGGUUGUGCCCUUGAGGCGUGGCUUCCGGAGCUAACGCGUUAAGUAGACCGCCUGGGGAGUACGGCCGCAAGGUUAAAACUCAAAUGAAUUGACGGGGGCCCGCACAAGCGGUGGAGCAUGUGGUUUAAUUCGAUGCAACGCGAAGAACCUUACCUGGUCUUGACAUCCACAGAACUUUCCAGAGAUGGAUUGGUGCCUUCGGGAACUGUGAGACAGGUGCUGCAUGGCUGUCGUCAGCUCGUGUUGUGAAAUGUUGGGUUAAGUCCCGCAACGAGCGCAACCCUUAUCCUUUGUUGCCAGCGAUUAGG
This 528-nucleotide ribosomal RNA is filed under the name Salmonella enterica. RNAcentral's name for it is "bacterial SSU rRNA". It matches the Rfam family "Bacterial small subunit ribosomal RNA", at positions 602 to 1129 of the family's 1533-position model. Lineage: Bacteria; Pseudomonadati; Pseudomonadota; Gammaproteobacteria; Enterobacterales; Enterobacteriaceae. The record is from RNAcentral. RNAcentral also lists the same sequence under 1 other name.